GAUGAACGCUGGCGGCGUGCUUAACACAUGCAAGUCGAACGGAAAGGCUCCUGCUUGCCGGGGUACUCGAGUGGCGAACGGGUGAGAAACACGUGGGUGAUCUGCCCUGCACUUCGGGAAAAGCCUGGGAAACUGGGACUAAUACAGGCUAGGAGGAUGGUUUGGAUGCCGUUGUGGAAAGCUCUUGCGGUGUGGGAUGAGUUCGCGGCCUAUCAGCUUGUUGGUGGGGUAAUGGCCUACCAAGGCGUAGACGGAUAGCCGGCCCGAGAGCGGGUACGGCGACAUUGGGCCUGAGAGACGGACCAGACUCGUACGUUAGGCAGCAGUGGGGAAUAUUGCACAAUGGGGGCGAGCCUGAUGCAGCGACGUCGGGUGUGUGAUGACGGCCUUCUGGUGGUAAACUCCUUUCGCUAGAGACGAAGCGCAAGUGACGGUACCUGGAGAAGAAGCACCGGCUAACUACGUG
This 466-nucleotide ribosomal RNA is filed under the name uncultured bacterium. RNAcentral's name for it is "partial 16S ribosomal RNA". It matches the Rfam family "Bacterial small subunit ribosomal RNA", at positions 28 to 507 of the family's 1533-position model. The record is from RNAcentral.